UACGUAGGGGCCUAGCGUUGUCCGGAAUUAUUGGGCGUAAAGAGCUCGUAGGCGGUUCGGCAAGUCGGAUGUGAAAUCUCCACGCUCAACGUGGAGGGGCCAUUCGAAACUGCCGUGACUCGAGUCCGGUAGGGGAGUGUGGAAUUCCCGGUGUAGCGGUGAAAUGCGCAGAUAUCGGGAGGAACACCAGUAGCGAAGGCGGCACUCUGGGCCGGUACUGACGCUGAGGAGCGAACGCGUGGGGAGCGAACAGG
Molecule: ribosomal RNA, 254 nt
Filed under: uncultured bacterium
Lineage: Bacteria
Description: partial 16S ribosomal RNA
Rfam family: Bacterial small subunit ribosomal RNA
Source: RNAcentral